AGCCUACCCCACCCACUCUUCUCAAUAAAAACUAAAAUAUUCUCCCAACCUAGUAAAGAAGAUUAAAAAACUCUUAAGAGCUAUAAUUUGUACCGCAAGGGAAAGAUGAAAUAAUAAUGAAAUAUUUUAAGCACAAAAAAGUAGAGACCCACCCUCGUACCUUUUGCAUCAUGGUUUAGCUAGUCUAAUUGGGCAAAAAGACUUUUAGUCCAACCUCCCGAAUCUAAGUGAGCUAAUUUAGGGCCGCUUAAUGAGCCCACCCGUCUAUGUUGCAGAAUAGUGGGAAGACCCUAAAGUAGAAGUGACAGACCUAACGAACUUAGUGAUAGCUGGUUCCUCAAGAAAAGAAUUUUWGUUCAUAAAAUGGCACUAACAUAUUCAAUUGCCCUCCCCAUUUUAAAGUAAUUCAAAUGAGGUACAGCCCAUUUGAUCCAGGACUCAGCCUUUACUGACGGGUAAUACCACCCCCCUUUCCCCCCCCCCGUAGGCCUAAUAGCAGCCAUCUUCUAAAAAGCGUCAAAGCUUAACACAUUUGCUCCAAUAAGCAAAACCCUAUUGACCCCUCUCACAGUAUUGAGGCCCUCUAUAACAUAUAGAGUUUUUUAUGCUAAAACUAGUAACAAGAGAUCCUCUCUCUUUAAUGCAAACAUAACCCAGCAAGAACCUAUCACUGGCAUCUACAGGAAUAAGCACUAGUAGCAACCCCACAAGAAAACCCUACUUUUCUUUCCGUUAACCUAACACCAGAGCAUUUCAAGAAAGAUUAAAAGAAGGGGAAGGAACUCAGCAAACACCAGCCCCGCCUGUUUACCAAAAACACCGCCUCUUGACCCCAUAAGAGGUCCAGCCUGCCCAGUGACUCUGUUCAACGGCCGCGGUAUCCUAACCGUGCUAAGGUAGCGUAAUCACUUGUCUUCUAAAUGAAGACUAGUAUGAAAGGCAUCACGAGGGCCAAGCUGUCUCCCCCCUCUAAUCAGUGAACCUAAUCUCCCCGUGAAGAAGCGGGGAUUUACAUAUAAGACGAGAAGMCCCUAUGGAGCUUAAAACGAUAUAAUACCUGCUCAGCCCCCCCCCAUUCAGAUUUUUACCUCAGCACGCUAAUUAUAGGUUUUUGGUUGGGGUGACCGCGGAGAAAAACUAAUCCUCCACAAUGAAAGGAGCCUUCCCCCCAACAAUAAGCUACAACUUUACAUUUCAAUAAAUUGACAUCCAUUGACCCAAUAUUUGAUCAACGAACCAAGUUACCCUAGGGAUAACAGCGCAAUCCACUUCAAGAGCCCCUAUCGACAAGUGGGCUUACGACCUCGAUGUUGGAUCGGGGGAUCCCUGUGGUGCAGCAGCUACUAAAGGUUCGUUUGUUCAACGAUUAAAACCCCACGUGAUCUGAGUUCAGACCGGAGUGAUCCAGGUCAGUUUCUAUCUAUCCUAGAGCUUUUUUCAGUACGAAAGGACCAAAACAGCAUGGCCAAUGCUCCCUCAAGCCAUAGUUAACCCAUUUUGACCUCGCCUCAAAAAUCAUCAACCUCCCCCCUCCCU
This 1536-nucleotide ribosomal RNA is filed under the name Pristimantis aureolineatus. Its description in RNAcentral is "partial large subunit ribosomal RNA". Lineage: Eukaryota; Metazoa; Chordata; Amphibia; Anura; Strabomantidae. The record is from RNAcentral.